This 451-nucleotide ribosomal RNA is filed under the name uncultured bacterium. RNAcentral's name for it is "partial 16S ribosomal RNA". It matches the Rfam family "Bacterial small subunit ribosomal RNA", at positions 354 to 796 of the family's 1533-position model. The record is from RNAcentral.
GUGGGGAAUUUUGGACAAUGGGGGCAACCCUGAUCCAGCCAUUCCGCGUGAAUGAAGAAGGCCUUCGGGUCGUAAAGUUCUGUCUUUAGAGAAGAAGUCUCUCUAUGUGAAUAAUGUAGAGAGGUGACGGUACCUAAGGAGGAAGCUCCGGCUAACUACGUGCCAGCAGCCGCGGUAAUACGUAGGGAGCAAGCGUUGUCCGGAAUUACUGGGCGUAAAGGGCGCGUAGGCGGAUAAUUAAGUCAGGUGUGAAAACUCUGGGCUCAACCUGGAGAUUGCACUUGAAACUGGUUAUCUUGAGGGCAGGAGAGGAAAGUGGAAUUCCUAGUGUAGCGGUGAAAUGCGUAGAUAUUAGGAGGAACACCAGUGGCGAAGGCGACUUUCUGGACUGCACCUGACGCUGAGGCGCGAAAGCGUGGGGAGCGAACGGGAUUAGAUACCCUAGUAGUCC